Molecule: long non-coding RNA, 912 nt
Organism: Oncorhynchus keta (chum salmon)
Lineage: Eukaryota; Metazoa; Chordata; Actinopteri; Salmoniformes; Salmonidae
Exons: 3
Source: RefSeq, a predicted model, not a curated record
UGGUUAUGGUCUUGAUAUUGGUAGUCGUUGAGACACAGUGGUAUAAAACAGUUUGACAGUCGCAGAAGAGGAUGGAGCGGCAUACGCGGUUGCGCGCGAGUCACGCAAACCCAAUAGCACAUUUCUGUACAUGGAUAUAUUUACGUGCUGGACACUGGCGAACUCCCGAAAAAGAAAAAUGGAGCACACUGCUGUUCAUGCUCCUAGUUCCACGUUUCGUCUGUCCUGGACCCCCCACUCCACUGCGUUCUUGGAUUCCUCUCCGGACCUGCUUACCCAGUCCCAACUCCCCUCGCUCCAGCCUCAACCUCAGCACCGGGCUUCCUGUAACCCACCCAAGCUUCCCCUGGCCUGCACCCCAUCCUCCACCUGUGUUUCAAUAAAUACCUUGGUUACCUCAUCCCAGUCUCAUCGUCUGCAUCUGCUCUUGGGUUUACAUGUUCCACUCCGCAUGACAUGAGUAGCCAGCAGUUGAAGCUUACAUUUUUCUGCAUAGGUAGAGCAUCUAUCUGGGUGGAAAGGUAACUUUUGAAAGUGCCAUGCUUAGAUAAGGAUGUCUAAGAUUGCAAAUAAUUAAAACAGUGGUUUGACAUUGAAGAAAUAUGGUAAGAAUGCCUAUUUCUCUAUACAUUCUUCCCUGAAACUUCUAUUUUCAUUAUCCUCCUUUUUCAGCCCAACAAUUUAUUUUGAUUGCUAAAUUUCUUUCCCCAAUCAAAGUACACAGAAAUAUAAAAUGAAUGUAAUAGAGACAUUAAUGAUUUUAUCAAUGUAAUCAUAUUAGGCUAUGUUAUUGACAGUGAACUGAUUAUGUAGCCUACUCACCAGAUGUGUUUCAUUUGUAGUGUAGGCCUAUGAAUUGGACUGCUAUUAUGUCCUGUUCCUCUGACUUUCAGUGGAGAAUUAUUUUUUGCC